This 253-nucleotide ribosomal RNA is filed under the name uncultured bacterium. Its description in RNAcentral is "partial 16S ribosomal RNA". It matches the Rfam family "Bacterial small subunit ribosomal RNA", at positions 524 to 776 of the family's 1533-position model. The record is from RNAcentral.
UACGUAGGGGGCAAGCGUUGUCCGGAUUUAUUGGGCGUAAAGAGCGUGUAGGCGGCCGUACAGGUCAGCUGUGAAAACUCGAGGCUCAACCUCGAGACGUCGGUUGAAACCGUACGGCUAGAGUCCGGAAGAGGAGAGUGGAAUUCCCGGUGUAGCGGUGAAAUGCGCAGAUAUCGGGAGGAACACCGGCGGCGAAGGCGGCUGCCUGGACCAGUCCUGACGCUGAGGCGCGAAAGCGAGGGGAGCAAACAGG